GUAGGUGGCAGGCGUUGUCCGGAAUUAUUGGGCGUAAAGCGCGCGCAGGCGGUCCUUUAAGUCUGAUGUGAAAGCCCACGGCUCAACCGUGGAGGGUCAUUGGAAACUGGGGGACUUGAGUACAGAAGAGGAAAGCGGAAUUCCACGUGUAGCGGUGAAAUGCGUAGAGAUGUGGAGGAACACCAGUGGCGAAGGCGGCUUUCUGGUCUGUAACUGACGCUGAGGCGCGAAAGCGUGGGGAGCAAACAGGAUUAGAUACCCUGGUAGUCCACGCCGUAAACGAUGAGUGCUAAGUGUUAGGGGGUUUCCCGCCCCCCUUAGUGCUGCAGCUAACGCAUUAAGCACUCCGCCUGGGGAGUACGGCCCGCAAGGCUG
Molecule: ribosomal RNA, 375 nt
Filed under: uncultured organism
Description: partial 16S ribosomal RNA
Rfam family: Bacterial small subunit ribosomal RNA
Source: RNAcentral